GGGGAUAUGGCUCAGUGGUAGAGCACCCGCAUUCGUAUCGGAAGGUCCGGGGUUCGACUUCCCCUGCCUCCA
This 72-nucleotide transfer RNA is filed under the name Pristionchus pacificus. It matches the Rfam family "tRNA". Rfam says of the family: Transfer RNA (tRNA) molecules are approximately 80 nucleotides in length. Their secondary structure includes four short double-helical elements and three loops (D, anti-codon, and T loops). The record is from Rfam by way of RNAcentral. Lineage: Eukaryota; Metazoa; Nematoda; Chromadorea; Rhabditida; Neodiplogasteridae.